ACCAUUCUAAGACUGAUUUUGACUCCCAACCUUGCCAACACUUGACUAAUCCAUAAGAAAGUUGGCAUGCAGUAUCAUCUAUCAGGCCUGGAAUCCCAGUUAACAAAAUUUUGUGCCUGGUAAUAUCUAAAUCAGAAGACAGAACUCAAGGACCAAAAAAAAAGUUAUGAUUAAUGAGAAAAAUCAGCACCAAGAAAUAAAACUGUUAAGAAAUAUCUGGAGGAAAAACAUUGCAAGACAUAACCAGACAUUUGGAGAAAGAAAAGUUGCAAUAUAAUGUUAACUCAAAUGGAGUGGGGGAUGGACAUACAUGGCUUUUGAAAUAGGAGUUACCAAUCUUCGAUUCAGUAGAACGUCAGAGUUAUGAACUGACUGAUCAACCAUACACCUCAUUUGGAACCGGAAGU
Molecule: long non-coding RNA, 407 nt
Organism: Mauremys mutica (yellowpond turtle)
Lineage: Eukaryota; Metazoa; Chordata; Testudines; Geoemydidae
Exons: 3
Source: RefSeq, a predicted model, not a curated record